GUAAUGACCGGGUAUUUUAUGCCACGUUAGCAUUUUUAGUUUGAAAAGUCUUAUUUUGUGUGAUGGUUGAAAAGUCAAAAAGAAAAGUGUUUGGAGAACACAUGUCAAUUUUGGAUUGGUGAAUUUCGUUUUAUUGUGUCGGUCAAUUAAACGAGUUGAAAUUUUAUGCCAUGUUAGCCUUAGGAUAGAAAAUUUCUUAGGAUUUUAGAAAUUGGAAAUUUCUGGGAACGAAAAACGAAAACGAAAAUGAAAAAUAAAUAAAUUAAGAUUAAUUAGAAUUAAUUAAGAAAAAUAAAUAAAUUAAUUAAAUUAAAUUGAUGAAU
RNAcentral lists this long non-coding RNA (323 nucleotides) under Vitis vinifera (wine grape). RNAcentral describes it as "long non-coding RNA (VVIN_LNC001454)". Lineage: Eukaryota; Viridiplantae; Streptophyta; Magnoliopsida; Vitales; Vitaceae. The record is from RNAcentral.